GAUGAACGCUAGCUACAGGCUUAACACAUGCAAGUCGAGGGGAAACGGCAUUUAGUGCUUGCACCGAAUGGACGUCGACCGGCGCACGGGUGAGUAACGCGUAUCCAACCUUCCCAUUACUGUGGGAUAACCUGCCGAAAGGCAGACUAAUACCGCAUAGUCUUCGUUGACGGCAUCAGAUAUGAAGUAAAGAUUUAUCGGUAAUGGAUGGGGAUGCGUCUGAUUAGCUUGUUGGCGGGGUAACGGCCCACCAAGGCGACGAUCAGUAGGGGUUCUGAGAGGAAGGUCCCCCACAUUGGAACUGAGACACGGUCCAAACUCCUACGGGAGGCAGCAGUGAGGAAUAUUGGUCAAUGGACGGAAGUCUGAACCAGCCAAGUAGCGUGCAGGAUGACGGCCCUAUGGGUUGUAAACUGCUUUUGUAUGGGGAUAAAGUUAGGGACGUGUCCCUAUUUGCAGGUACCAUACGAAUAAGGACCGGCUAAUUCCGUGCCAGCAGCCGCGGUAAUACGGAAGGUCCAGGCGUUAUCCGGAUUUAUUGGGUUUAAAGGGAGCGUAGGCUGGAGAUUAAGUGUGUUGUGAAAUGUAGACGCUCAACGUCUGAAUUGCAGCGCAUACUGGUUUCCUUGAGUACGCACAACGUUGGCGGAAUUCGUCGUGUAGCGGUGAAAAUGCUUAGAUAUGACGAAGAACUCCGAUUGCUAAGGCUGCUGACGGGAGCGCAACUGACGCUUAAGCUCGAAGGUGCGGGUAUCGAACAGG
This 762-nucleotide ribosomal RNA is filed under the name Prevotella melaninogenica. Its description in RNAcentral is "bacterial SSU rRNA". It matches the Rfam family "Bacterial small subunit ribosomal RNA", at positions 28 to 776 of the family's 1533-position model. Lineage: Bacteria; Pseudomonadati; Bacteroidota; Bacteroidia; Bacteroidales; Prevotellaceae. The record is from RNAcentral.